ACGGGAGGCAGCAGUGAGGAAUAUUGGUCAAUGGACGGAAGUCUGAACCAGCCAAGUCGCGUGAAGGAUGAAGGUUCUAUGGAUUGUAAACUUCUUUUGCCCGAGGGUAAAGUGAGGGACGUGUCCCUUAUUGCAAGUAUCGGGUGAAUAAGCAUCGGCUAACUCCGUGCCAGCAGCCGCGGUAAUACGGAGGAUGCGAGCGUUAUCCGGAUUUAUUGGGUUUAAAGGGUGCGUAGGCGGUUUGUUAAGUCAGUGGUAAAAGCGUGUGGCUCAACCAUACCAAGCCAUUGAAACUGGCGAACUUGAGUGUAAACGAGGUAGGCGGAAUAUGACAUGUAGCGGUGAAAUGCUUAGAUAUGUCAUAGAACUCCGAUUGCGAAGGCAGCUUACCAGCAUACAACUGACGCUGAGGCACGAAAGCGUGGGUAUCAAACAGGAUUAGAUACCCUGGUA
RNAcentral lists this ribosomal RNA (453 nucleotides) under uncultured Paludibacter sp. Its description in RNAcentral is "partial 16S ribosomal RNA". It matches the Rfam family "Bacterial small subunit ribosomal RNA", at positions 341 to 792 of the family's 1533-position model. The record is from RNAcentral. Lineage: Bacteria; Pseudomonadati; Bacteroidota; Bacteroidia; Bacteroidales; Paludibacteraceae.